This 303-nucleotide ribosomal RNA is filed under the name uncultured beta proteobacterium. RNAcentral's name for it is "bacterial SSU rRNA". It matches the Rfam family "Bacterial small subunit ribosomal RNA", at positions 172 to 477 of the family's 1533-position model. Lineage: Bacteria; Pseudomonadati; Pseudomonadota; Betaproteobacteria. The record is from RNAcentral.
CAUAAUCUCUGAGGAGAAAAGCAGGGGAUCGCAAGACCUUGCGCUUUUGGAGCGGCCGAUGCCUGAUUAGCUUGUUGGUAAGGUAAAAGCCUACCAAAGCUUCGAUCAGUAGCUGGUCUGAGAGGACGGCCAGCCACACUGGGACUGAGACACGGCCCAGACUCCUACGGGAGGCAGCAGUGGGGAAUUUUGGACAAUGGGNGCAACCCUGAUCCAGCCAUGCCGCGUGAGUGAAGAAGGCCUUCGGGUUGUAAAGCUCUUUCAGCCGGAACGAAAAGGUUACGGUUAAUACCCGUGACUAAU